AAGUCGUAACAAGGUAUCUGUAGGUGAACCUGCAGAUGGAUCAUUGAAUACAACGUUAUCCAACGUUCACCCCAUACGCGAACUUGUUUUUCACCAGUAGUGUGAAGAUGGAUAAGGGUGCAAGAGAUGUGGCGUCUAACAUCGAAAGGUGUUAGUUCUUGCACUUGUGCUCCGGGCGCAAGCCUGGGUGAUGCGCGCUUCACAUUACUUCGCCAUGUUUUUUACUAAAUUUUACCCCAUUUACCUUAUUCUUUUUGUACUAACUCUUUUUUUCUCCUCUUUCGAGGGAAAAAAACACUUUAAAUAAUGCGAACAACUCUUAGCAACGGAUAUCUAGGCUCUC
Molecule: unclassified non-coding RNA, 343 nt
Filed under: fungal sp.
Lineage: Eukaryota; Fungi
Description: partial internal transcribed spacer region
Rfam family: Eukaryotic small subunit ribosomal RNA (bases 1-46)
Source: RNAcentral